UCUCCGUUGGUGAACCAGCGGAGGGAUCAUUACAGAGUUGCAAAACUCCCAACCCUUUGUGAACGAACUUGCCAGUUGCCUCGGCGGGGAGCCCCUCAAGGAGCCGACCGCCGGCGGACUGCAAACUCUUUUGAACUACCAUUCUGAUUACUAAUUCAAUAAGUUAAAACUUUCAACAACGGAUCUCUUGGUUCUG
RNAcentral lists this unclassified non-coding RNA (196 nucleotides) under soil metagenome. RNAcentral's name for it is "partial contains small subunit ribosomal RNA, internal transcribed spacer 1, and 5.8S ribosomal RNA". The record is from RNAcentral.